Long non-coding RNA from Triticum dicoccoides, 830 nucleotides. RefSeq lists it as uncharacterized. The record is from RefSeq and is a predicted model, not a curated record. NCBI's taxonomy places the organism in Eukaryota, Viridiplantae, Streptophyta, Magnoliopsida, Poales, Poaceae. The transcript has 2 exons.
CUCCAUCCUCCAUUCAACAUCCAACCCUUUGUAAUCAGCUGGUUGAAAUCGUUAGGGUAGAUGCACUCUAGACAAAUUUCAUCUCUGCGCGUGUCAAGUCUCCUCAAAAUUCUACACCUAGCUCUAGCAUUAAGUUGUCAGUUGUUGCUGUGAAAUCCAUGGGGCCUCUAGACAUCAUUAACCAAGCACCCCAGCAUCCCCUCCUGAAGUAAUUAAACUGGAUUGGCGAGGAAAUCUUCCAUCAGUAACAUCACAAACUUCUACUUUUUAGAUGAGAAGGUGACGGUACUGGAGUCAGAAAAACGAGCUUGGGAAAGCAGUCCAGAAGCACAAGCUAUGAGAGAAGCCUUGAAUCCAUGGCACAAGCGUGAUGAGAAGGAGAAAAAAUAGGCAAUGAUAGACUCAUCGGUCCUCCUUUCAAGUAAUUGCAUUUCCACCCUUCCAUUGUAUCGUAACCCCUUGAACAAGGUAAUAGGGAUGUGGCGUUUUUGUAGUUGUUCGAACCUGUCUCUCUGGGGUUGCUGGAUGAUAGCUUCCAGCAAUGUUCUAAAGGAGUUAUGCCCAUAUCAUAUCCAUAUGUCUUCUUCCUAACAAGGAUUCUUUUACUGUUUCCACGCAUAUGCGUCCAUUUUGAACGUCAUUCAAACUCAGUAUCUGCUAUGUUUAGCAAUGUAACAAAGAAUUUUAGACUUGCAGAGGUCAAACCAAUCUACGUCUUCCAUUCAUUUAGUGAGGACCGUCUUUUAUGUGAGUCGAUGCUAAAUUUUGUAAUCAAAGAUAUCUGGGGUACCCCUGCUGCUCCAUUAAUUCAAAUUCUAGACGUUUAUUUC